This 301-nucleotide ribosomal RNA is filed under the name uncultured bacterium. RNAcentral describes it as "partial 16S ribosomal RNA". It matches the Rfam family "Bacterial small subunit ribosomal RNA", at positions 509 to 807 of the family's 1533-position model. The record is from RNAcentral.
CAGUCGCCGCGGUAAUACGUAGGUGGCAAGCGUUGUCCGGAAUUAUUGGGCGUAAAGGGCUCGCAGGCGGUUUCUUAAGUCUGAUGUGAAAGCCCUCGGCUCAACCGGGGAGGGUCAUUGGAAACUGGGAAACUUGAGUGCAGAAGAGGAGAGUGGAAUUCCACGUGUAGCGGUGAAAUGCGUAGAGAUGUGGAGGAACACCAGUGGCGAAGGCGACUCUCUGGUCUGUAACUGACGCUGAUGUGCGAAAGCGUGGGGAUCAAACAGGAUUAGAUACCCCGGUAGUCCCUGUCUCUUAUAC